GAGUAGCUGGGUCUACAGGCGUGCACCACCAUGCCCAGAACGCUGUAACUGUUUCAUAUAAUAUUGGUUCAGGAAACGGGAAAGGUACUUUGACCAAAUAUUUUAUAAGUUUCAGUAUCAGUUUCUCAUUUUCUGAAUUCUGAAGUUUAAACCCUCCUACUUAAAGAAGAAGAUGAAGCAGUGAUUCGUAAGAGACAUCCUUGGGAAGUUGCAUUUGAGUUGAAGAAAUACAUUGCCUCAUCCUACGUUGCUAUUGAGUACAGUAAGAACAUGAGGUCAACCGGCAACCAUGUGAGAGAACUUGGAGGCAGAUUCUCUGAAGCCACACCAGGAUUCCUGACCA
This 343-nucleotide long non-coding RNA is filed under the name Papio anubis (olive baboon). RNAcentral describes it as "lncRNA (ENSPANG00000043215.1)". Lineage: Eukaryota; Metazoa; Chordata; Mammalia; Primates; Cercopithecidae. The record is from RNAcentral.